Molecule: ribosomal RNA, 756 nt
Filed under: uncultured bacterium
Lineage: Bacteria
Description: bacterial SSU rRNA
Rfam family: Bacterial small subunit ribosomal RNA
Source: RNAcentral
AGAGUUUGAUCCUGGCUCAGAAUCAACGCUGGCGGCGUGCCUAACACAUGCAAGUCGCACGAGAAAGGGUAGCAAUACCUGAGUACAGUGGCGCACGGGUGAGUAACACGUGAAUCAUCUACCUUCGAGUGGGGAAUAACUGGGAGAAAUCUCAGCUAAUACCGCAUAACACCUACGGGUCAAAGCAGCAAUGCGCUUGAAGAGGAGUUCGCGGCAGAUUAGUUAGUUGGCGGGGUAAUGGCCCACCAAGACGAUGAUCUGUAUCCGGCCUGAGAGGGCGCACGGACACACUGGAACUGAAACACGGUCCAGACUCCUACGGGAGGCAGCAGUGGGGAAUUUUGCGCAAUGGGGGAAACCCUGACGCAGCAACGCCGCGUGGAGGAUGAAAUCCCUUGGGAUGUAAACUCCUUUCGAUCGGGACGAUUAUGACGGUACCGGAAGAAGAAGCCCCGGCUAACUUCGUGCCAGCAGCCGCGGUAAUACGAGGGGGGCAAGCGUUGUUCGGAAUUAUUGGGCGUAAAGGGCGCGUAGGCGGUUUGACAAGUCUGAUGUGAAAUCUAUGGGCUCAACCCAUAGCCUGCAUUAGAAACUGUCGGGCUUGAGUAUGGGAGAGGUGAGUGGAAUUUCCGGUGUAGCGGUGAAAUGCGUAGAUAUCGGAAGGAACACCUGUGGCGAAAGCGGCUCACUGGACCAUAACUGACGCUGAGGCGCGAAAGCUAGGGGAGCAAACAGGAUUAGAUACCCUAGUAGUCC